CCUACGGGAGGCAGCAGUAGGGAAUCUUCCGCAAUGGACGAAAGUCUGACGGAGCAACGCCGCGUGAGCGAUGAAGGCCUUCGGGUCGUAAAGCUCUGUUGUCAGGGAAGAACAAGUAUCGGAGUAACUGCCGGUACCUUGACGGUACCUGACCAGAAAGCCACGGCUAACUACGUGCCAGCAGCCGCGGUAAUACGUAGGUGGCAAGCGUUGUCCGGAAUUAUUGGGCGUAAAGCGCGCGCAGGCGGUUCCUUAAGUCUGAUGUGAAAGCCCCCGGCUCAACCGGGGAGGGUCAUUGGAAACUGGGGAACUUGAGUGCAGAAGAGGAGAGCGGAAUUCCACGUGUAGCGGUGAAAUGCGUAGAGAUGUGGAGGAACACCAGUGGCGAAGGCGGCUCUCUGGUCUGUAACUGACGCUGAGGCGCGAAAGCGUGGGGAGCGAACAGGAUUAGAUACCCUGGUAGUCCACGCCGUAAACGAUGAGUGCUAAGUGUUAGAGGGUUUCCGCCCUUUAGUGCUGCAGCAAACGCAUUAAGCACUCCGCCUGGGGAGUACGGCCGCAAGGCUGAAACUUAAAGGAAUUGACGG
RNAcentral lists this ribosomal RNA (587 nucleotides) under uncultured bacterium. Its description in RNAcentral is "bacterial SSU rRNA". It matches the Rfam family "Bacterial small subunit ribosomal RNA", at positions 338 to 916 of the family's 1533-position model. The record is from RNAcentral.